ACCUACGGGGGGCAGCAGUAGGGAAUCUUCGUCAAUGGGCGCAAGCCUGAACGAGCAAUGCCGCGUGAACGAGGAAGGUCUUCGGAUCGUAAAGUUCUGUUGAAGGGGAAAAAGAGCGGAGAGAGGAAAUGGUCUCCGAUUGAUAUUACCCUUCGAGGAAGUCACGGCUAACUACGUGCCAGCAGCCGCGGUAAUACGUAGGUGGCGAGCGUUAUCCGGAAUGAUUGGGCGUAAAGGGUGCGUAGGCGGCCUGCUAAGUCUGGAGUGAAAGGUACCGGCUCAACCGGUACAGGCUCUGGAAACUG
RNAcentral lists this ribosomal RNA (305 nucleotides) under uncultured bacterium. Its description in RNAcentral is "bacterial SSU rRNA". It matches the Rfam family "Bacterial small subunit ribosomal RNA", at positions 337 to 635 of the family's 1533-position model. The record is from RNAcentral.